This 1134-nucleotide long non-coding RNA is filed under the name Lathyrus oleraceus (garden pea). RNAcentral's name for it is "Pisum sativum (pea) long non-coding RNA (PSAT_LNC035407)". Lineage: Eukaryota; Viridiplantae; Streptophyta; Magnoliopsida; Fabales; Fabaceae. The record is from RNAcentral.
UUGUUAAAUCUAAUUAUCCAUUUUCAUUAAAACCAUAAUUCCAUAUCCCGAACUUUUUCCAUUUAUCCAAUUCAAUUUUAAUUAGUAAUAUCAAUAAUAUUUUACAUAUUCUAAUAAGGCAAAAAGAGAAAAUGCAGUGGGAAUUGAAAGGAAGCUGCAGCGUUCAAGCCAAAGUGAAGCUACAAAACGCAAAGUACAAAACAACAGAAACGCAUAAGUCGAAGACGACAAUAACGAGCCAAAGGCUACCGCAAUGGUAAACGUGAUAAGCUGCAAACACACGCUUCAAAACGCCAAGCCAACAUUACUGCAUAAACGACGUACAUGCCAAAAUGAAACGCAACUGAAACAAAAUCAAAACGCAAAUCAAAUCCGUAAAGGCUACAAAGAGAAAUAGAAACGCGUAAGUCACAUGAACACCGCAACAUCCAAGCAGCAUCAAAAUGGCAAGAGAAUUCUAAAACGCAGAUUGAACUCACCAAUAUAAAUACGCAAAUCAGCGAAUUUUUGGGAUUCUUCUUCUUUUUCUCCAAUUUUUCCAGAAUUCUUUUUCUUCCCUUUUUCUUCUUCUUUCAGAAAAGCCUUCUUCCUCUUCCCGCGACACCGCCAUCUGCAACACCUUCCACAACCACUGAGAUCGAUCAUCGCCUUCACCAUCUGCCACCUUCAUAGCUUUAGCUUCUUCUCUUCUUCCAAGCUUUGUGAAGUCAUCCAUAAGAUACGUGCCAAAAUCAGAGCGCGACGAUAAGAAGGAGAAACGCGGGCAUCUGUGAAAAGUGAAGAUUCAAGUUUAUACCUUGAUUUAGAUUGCGAUUCAGAGUAAUUUCCUCGAUUUUCCUUGCCUUUCCUUCCUUUCUGUCUCCUGUCGAUUGCAAGGAUUUAAAUCUCGUUCGACUUAUGAUUCGAUUCGCGUUGGAGUAGAGAUUAGGUGAUUUCUUCGGUGGAUUCUUUUAGAGUAAGGAUUAGGUGAGUUCGUAGGCGGUUACAUGGUCCACCGCCGCCGACGAGGCCCGGUGUGGCGGAAACGGAUGGAGUUUCUCCGACGCGGUGCUUGAAAGGAGAGAUGGAGAGCUUGUGAGGGAGUUUGCGUAUGAUGUUGUUUUGUGUAAGUAGAAUCCCCUGUCCAUAUCUUCG